AGUUUGCCUGUGACAUCUAAUAGUUCUGUUCUAAAUGAUCAGAAUCUCCAAACUAGUGGAUAUAUUGGUUCAAUAUCCAUGCCGUGUCAAUCAGAAUUGGUGCCUUCUCCGGACCCAACAAAUUCAUGUCAAACAGGAUUGACACCUUCUCCUGACCCUGCAAAUCCAUGUCAAACAGGAUUUAUGCCUUAUCCAGACCCUGUGAAUUCUUGUCAAACAGGAGGAUUUAUGCCGUCUCCCAACCCAGCAAAUUCAUGUCAAACAGGAUUGACGCCUUCUCCUGACCCUUCAAAUUCUUGUCAAACAGGAUUUAUGCCUUAUCCAGACCCUGUGAAUUCUUAUCAAACAGGAUUUAUGCCUGCUUCCGACCCUGCAAAUUCAUGUCAAACAGAAUUUAUGCCGUCCCCUGACCAUGCGAGUUCAUGUCAAAUAGGAUUGAUGCCUUUGCCUGACCCUGCAAAUGAUUCAUAUCCAGACAAUCAAGCUGUUAAUAAUGAUGACGACGAUAUUCUAGCAAUGCUUGAUAUUUUCAAAGGCAAUGGCGUAUUGCCUGCACCCGACCCUGCAAAUGAUUCAUAUCCAGACAAUCAAGCUGUUAAUAAU
Molecule: long non-coding RNA, 603 nt
Filed under: Medicago truncatula (barrel medic)
Lineage: Eukaryota; Viridiplantae; Streptophyta; Magnoliopsida; Fabales; Fabaceae
Description: long non-coding RNA (MTRU_LNC006616)
Source: RNAcentral